UACGGAGGAUCCAAGCGUUAUCCGGAAUCAUUGGGUUUAAAGGGUCCGUAGGCGGUCUAAUAAGUCAGUGGUGAAAUCCCUACGCUUAACGUAGGAACGGCCAUUGAUACUGUUAGACUUGAAUUAUUAGGAAGUAACUAGAAUAUGUAGUGUAGCGGUGAAAUGCUUAGAUAUUACAUGGAAUACCAAUUGCGAAGGCAGGUUACUAACAAUUUAUUGACGCUGAUGGACGAAAGCGUGGGUAGCGAACAGG
Molecule: ribosomal RNA, 253 nt
Filed under: uncultured bacterium
Lineage: Bacteria
Description: partial 16S ribosomal RNA
Rfam family: Bacterial small subunit ribosomal RNA
Source: RNAcentral